UGGGGGAUAUUGCACAAUGGGCGCAAGCCUGAUGCAGCGACGCCGCGUGGGGGAUGAAGGCCUUCGGGUUGUAAACUUCUUUUGCUCUGAACAAGGCGCACUUUGGGGUGUGUUGAGUGUAGGGGUUGAUUAGCGCCGGCUAACUACGUGCCAGCAGCCGCGGUAAUACGUAGGGCGCGAGCGUUGUCCGGAAUUAUUGGGCGUAAAGGGCUUGUAGGUGGCUGGUUGCGUCUGUCGUGAAAGCUCAUGGCUUAACUGUGGGUUUGCGGUGGGUACGGGCUGGCUUGAGUGCAGUAGGGGAGGCUGGAAUUCCUGGUGUAGCGGUGGAAUGCGCAGAUAUCAGGAGGAAUACCGGUGGCGAAGGCGGGUCUCUGGGCGGUUACUGACACUGAGGAGCGAAAGCAUGGGGAGCGAACAGG
Molecule: ribosomal RNA, 419 nt
Filed under: bacterium
Lineage: Bacteria
Description: partial 16S ribosomal RNA
Rfam family: Bacterial small subunit ribosomal RNA
Source: RNAcentral